Molecule: ribosomal RNA, 307 nt
Filed under: Sarcocystis lamacanis
Lineage: Eukaryota; Apicomplexa; Conoidasida; Eucoccidiorida; Sarcocystidae
Description: SSU rRNA
Rfam family: Eukaryotic small subunit ribosomal RNA
Source: RNAcentral
AAAUAGGAUGGGCACCAGAUUAAACUGUUUUUGUAUCACUUCUUAGAGGGACUUUGCGUGUCUAACGCAAGGAAGUUUGAGGCAAUAACAGGUCUGUGAUGCCCUUAGAUGUUCUGGGCUGCACGCGCGCUACACUGAUGCAUCCAACAAGUUGUUAAAAACCUUGGCCGAUAGGUUUAGGUAAUCUUUUGAGUAUGCAUCGUGAUGGGGAUAGAUUAUUGCAAUUAUUAAUCUUCAACGAGGAAUGCCUAGUAGGCGCAAGUCAGCAGCUUGCGCCGAUUACGUCCCUGCCCUUGUACACACCGCC